Asparagus officinalis (garden asparagus) is the source of this 2567-nucleotide RNA transcript. It is a transcript of the gene named probable carboxylesterase 15, with no coding region annotated. The transcript has 6 exons. The record is from RefSeq and is a predicted model, not a curated record. Lineage: Eukaryota; Viridiplantae; Streptophyta; Magnoliopsida; Asparagales; Asparagaceae.
UAUAGGCUACGCGGUCGCGUAUCUUAUACGCGUACGCGUAUCGCAUACAGAGACGCGCUAAUUAUACCGCUGGUCGUGAAGUAUACGCAGACGCGUAAACGAUACGCGGAAAUUUUAUUCCUGUUGUAUAAAUAGAGGGGGGUCGAUACGAUGAUACCUCACUCUAUCUACAUUUCAAAUCGCGAAGAGAGGGCGGAAAGAAAGAGGGCAGAGGCGAUGGAGCCACAGACCGUAAGCGAGCCAAACCCUAACGUCCACAUUCGGAGUCUUUGUAGGAUCAAAGGCGAAGGUGCUCAAACCCUAGAGGGCCAAACCCUAAUGUCGACAUAGAAGAAGAGGAUCGGUAAUUCUUUUCCCCGUUUAAGUGUUUGUGUGAGAGACAAUCGCUUACUUGAAAUUUUUACUCUUUAUGCAAAUUGCAAGUGCGUCCUUUAAAUCUCGCGGCUUUCCCCCUAGUUUAUGUGAUUGUAUCUAUAUGUACCGAGGUCGGUGAUUUUUUUUUCAUGAUACGUUGCAAAGGCAUUACAUUGAGGCAUUUUAUCAAGCAUCUGGCUUUUUUUUUUCCCUUUAAUACCGGGGAAAAGAAAUCCUCCCUUCAUUAGGGUUUUUGUAGGAUCAGAGACGAAGGAGCCAAAACCCUAGCGACUAGCAAUCAAAACCCCAAUGUUUGUUGGUGUAAGAGGAGGAUUGGAAAUUCGUUCUCCCUUUUCGUUUUUGCGUUACAGGAUGUGUUUUCCCUUUAUCAAUAUCUGGAGAAUGUGUAGCAAUAUAAAAAGAAGAGCUUGUUGCUUCAUCAUUAUUGUGAAUGGUUACUGUUCAUGCCUAUGAUGGAAAUUUCCACACAUUAGUACUAUUUGAUCCAGAUCUCGAUGAUGAAAACCUAGAAGCAGAGAGACUAAAUCAUUUUCAUGGUUCAUGCUGCACUGUCUGUGGAAGGUACUAAUGAGAUUGGAAGUGUUACGUACUCAUCAUAGCAAUUGAUUGUGGAUAAAUGAUAAGUGAGCUUUUUCCGUGGCGUGUUAAGAUUAUAAACUAGGAUUUUAAGUUUAUCGAUAACAUCCGGAGAGAAUAGGUCACCUACUUCUGUGGAGAACUGUAUGUGGCUCUAGUCAUAGCUCAAGACAUUCUUUCUCAAGUUUAGGAGUAAAUUAUUUACUCAAUAUUCCUUUCAUUUUAUUUGCUUUUUUUAAGCUACCGUGUACAUUUUCUUUCAUUACAGAAGCAUCUCAGCAACAAACGGUCAAUUUCUUUACCAAAUAAAGUAAACAAAAGCAGCUGUCAAUGAGAUUUAGCUCCAUUGAGAAGGUCUUAUCAAGAAUGCAUAUAUUCCAAUAGGAAGCAGGUGCUACUGUUUCUGUUAGGGGGGGUUAUUCAUUGGUGUAAUUUUGGGGAUAAUGGGAUAAUUUUUGGAACAACAAUAUUUGGUGUUAUUCAUUGGGGUAUUUGGAACUGGAACCACCUUUAUGGUGUUAUUGGUUUGUUGGGAUAAAUGAGGGACAAAUACCCCACUUUCCUCCAAAUUACCCCAACUAUAUAAGCACUCCUCACCCCCACCCUCCAAAUUUACCCCACUUUUUUCCCUGGAACAAGAGGGGAACAGAAUUACCUCACUUCCGUUCUCAAGCUCCAUUGUCGCCGUGCUCGAGCUCGAUCGCCGCUCCGCCUUUGUCGUUCCGAAGCAGGGAUUUCCCCACCGCCAUCUCCUCCGCCUCCUCCUCCGCCUCCAUCCGCCGCGGGAAGUACACCGGAGCUGUGCACUGCUGCUUUUUGAGGACGCCGACUAAUUUCUCAACAAUUUACAACUAAGGGCAUUUCUACACCUGUCCAUUGAUUUUGAGCUUGUAUGGGUUAAUGGGUAGCUGUUUUAAUUUCUACUGAAGUCCAUUGAUCGAGGGGGGGAAAAAUCUACGUUUUGUGGUGAGUAGUUCUCUGUUUCUAUUGGGUUGGAACUAAUGUACUGGAAGAUGAUCAAAACAAUGAAGCUGAAGAACCUGGUUCUUUACCAAGUGAACCUGAUCGCUGUCCUGGUGCUCUUGUCCCCGAGAGGCUCAAUGUGACUUACUUGAUAAUUAUUUGGAGGAACUGUAAUUUACGCAAAGUUGCUGAGCAUUUUCUUUUAGUAUAGAUAAGUCAUGAUUGCUGCAUAGAGCUUGGUUGCUUCUCAUGUUGUUGAUAAAGUCAAUAGUUAAGAGGAAAUUUCUUGGCACAAAGAUGACAGUUAUAUGGCCUUGUUUCGGUCUGAAUACAUCAAAAGUUCACACGUUAGAGGGCUGUGUAGCUUGCAAAGCUUUACUGCUUUAUAUGGUUACCUUGUAUUUAUAGAGUUCUCUACGACCCAGAGCAUUCGGAUGGACAUUGUAUAUAUGUUUAUAAAUUCUUUGUAAUUCUUAACUUCAAUGUAAUCGCUAUUGUUUUGUUCAUGAAAGGGUAGGGCAUUCAGAUGUUGGAUCCUUCCAUAAGCCUGAGGAUUCAAAUUGUAGCUUAUUUGUGUUGUAAUUUUUUAAGGAAACAAUUUUCCUAAAAAGUGUUAGCUAGUUUAGUCUCACAUUUGAUUACGUAUUUGUAGC